RNAcentral lists this ribosomal RNA (253 nucleotides) under uncultured bacterium. Its description in RNAcentral is "partial 16S ribosomal RNA". It matches the Rfam family "Bacterial small subunit ribosomal RNA", at positions 524 to 776 of the family's 1533-position model. The record is from RNAcentral.
UACAGAGGGUGAGAGCGUUAAUCGGAAUUACUGGGCGUAAAGCGUGCGUAGGCGGUCGUGUAAGUCGGGUGUGAAAGCCCCGGGCUCAACCUGGGAAUUGCAUUCGUGACUGCACGGCUGGAGUGCGGAAGAGGGAAGCGGAAUUUCCGGUGUAGCGGUGAAAUGCGUAGAUAUCGGAAGGAACAUCAGUGGCGAAAGCGGCUUCCUGGUCCAGCACUGACGCUCAGUCACGAAAUCGUGGGGAGCAAACAGG